RNAcentral lists this long non-coding RNA (408 nucleotides) under Vigna radiata. Its description in RNAcentral is "long non-coding RNA (VRAD_LNC004223)". Lineage: Eukaryota; Viridiplantae; Streptophyta; Magnoliopsida; Fabales; Fabaceae. The record is from RNAcentral.
CAAAAUUAAAGUUCAACCUAUUCUAAGAAUUUAAAUGCAAAGGUGUAAGAAGAAAUUCUAGGUUGCCUCCUAGUAGCGCUCGUUUAACGUCACGAGCCUGACCCAAACCUGUUUGGCACUUGUCAGUAAGUGCACUUUCUUCCAACACCCAUCAAUAGGUGUGCCUUCUUGGAAUCCAUCAGUGGAUUUAAAAUUUUUAGCAUCCCUCAGUAGAUGUUAAUCAUUAUUGCCAUCAGAAGCAGAGCAUAACCAAAAAAUAAAAUAAAAUAAAAUAAAAUAAAAUAAAAUAAAAAAUAAUAAAAUAAUAAAAUAAUAAAAUAAAAUAAAAUAAAAUAAAGUAAAAUAAAAUAAAAUAAAAUCAAAUAAAAUAAGAUAAAAUCAAAUCAAAUCAAAUCAAAUCAAAUCAAA